Long non-coding RNA from Phocoena sinus (vaquita), 2451 nucleotides. Lineage: Eukaryota; Metazoa; Chordata; Mammalia; Artiodactyla; Phocoenidae. The record is from Ensembl.
GGCACCUGCGAGCGGAGCCCUAGGCGGGGCAUGGCGGCGCGGACGGUCCUGUGAGAGCGAAGCUGCCGCGGGGCCCGCCAUGCGCCGGCGGCCCUGACAUGGGCGCCAGCGGCUCCAAAGCUCGGGGCCUGUGGCCCUUCGCCUCGGCGGCGGGGGGCGGCGGCCCGGAGGCGGCUGUCGCUGAGCAAGCUUUGGUGCGACCGCGAGGCCGAGUCGUGCCCCCCUUCGUAUUCACGCGCCGCGGGUAAGGGCGUGGGGUUCCGCCCCCGGGAGGACAGACGGGCGGCUGGGUGCCCCGCGUCAUGGGGCGCUCCCGCCGCUGUACCCCCUACACCCGAGUCAGGACGGUUCCCAUAUUUCAGGCUCCCAGAGGAACAAGGGGUGGGGAAAGCCGAGCAGUCGGUUCCUGGCGGCCUGGCUGCUCUGAAGGUCUCCCGAGGAGAAGAGUGGGCCUGAGGCUUGUCCCUGGGCAGGCCCUCCUCACGGUGAAGCUAAGAUAGGGCCUCCCUGAGACUUCAGAACCUCUUCCUUUCAUCCCAUCCAUCCUAGCCUGCAAGCUGAAGGCUCCUAUCCUCCCUCACCUCCAGUUCUCUCUCGGGGAGAAUGACCCUCUGUUUUGUCUGUUUCCGUUCCCCACAGUGGUGGGGUUGGACCUCUCUGGGUAGUGGCCGGGAAAGCAGGACUGGUCCCCAGCGUUGGGGAUGGGGCCUGGGGAAAAAGACCCUCACCCAGGUAUGUUUCCCAGAUCUGGAGCACUGACCUCCCCCCUCCCCUAAGCGGCCCAGACAGGAGUACUAGAUUGGCCUGGCUGUGAUGGACCCUGGGGAGUGACACUCAGGUGAUGCUGGAGAUUUGGCUGUAGAUACUAGGGGGACCCCAACAGUGGCAGUUUGGCUGCAUCAGCCACCUGGAUGGGGGAGGAUGCAGGCUUUUUCUCUUUAGGCUCCCUCCUAGCUCAGGCAUCUGCUAUCUCAGGCUUUGGCCCUGGGCCAGCAGUGUCUUCUGGAGUGAGACCAACAUGCCCAGGCCACCAUCCUGCCCACUCUAGAAGCCCUGGGUGAAGGCAAGGGCCUGAUGGAACGGCUACUCUUGCUGAACAAACCAGUGAUUUUUUGCUCCAUGUUCUAUGACGAGGAUGGGGAUCUGGCUCACGAGUUCUAUGAGGAGACAAUCGUCACCAAGAACGGGCAGAAGCGGGCCAAGCUGAGGCGGGUACAUAAGAACCUGAUUCCUCAGGGCAUCGUGAAGCUGGAUCCCCCCCGCAUCCACGUGGAUUUCCCUGUGAUCCUCUAUGAGGUGUGAGCCUGGGGGGUGGCAGGCAUAAACACCCCCUGCCCCAGCAAGAAACCCCCAGGCUCAAGGUGUGGCUUCCACUGAGGAACCUAGGCUGGGGCCACAACCGUGAAUAAACUCCACUGGCCCGGAACCUUCAACUGUGAGCAGGGCAGUCCUACAAUGCUGGUUGGGUGUUGGUUUGUAUGUGGACAAGAGGUGGCUGGUGGCUGGCAAGGGCUGAUGGCGGAGUUACCAGUCCACCUUUCCCAGCAAUCCCUACAAGGAGCAUGGCAGGGCAUAUGCUGUUCAGGAAUGCCUGGUUCCUGUGCCCUUGCCUGGCCUGCAUUCUUCCAAGCUUGCCUAGGGCCCAGCCCUGCUGGAGGCUACAGCACUUUACAAGUAAGGUCUGCCUUUUUCCAGCCCCAGGGCUGUGGGAGCUGUACACAAGUGGAACUUCCUUUCCCUCACUUCCUUUACCCUCUCGUUGGAGCAUUUCAGCCGUUUGCUACCUCGAUUCCUCCUGUGUUGGACAGAAGCUGGGGGCAGAACAAGCCUGAUUCUUCCUGCCUACCUGCCCAUCUGUUCCCACCCCCAGAUGGAUGGACAGUUUGCUGGCUGUUAAUAGGUGUGGGAGGUUUCUCCCUCUACCCCGGGCUGGGCUGAUCCCUCCCCACUGCAACUAGUUGCUGACCCCUACCCCAACUGAGAGGGCAUAGGAUGGGGAUCAGGAAGGGCUCUGGAUGCCUGUGCUUAUGGGGUGUUGUCACAUCCCACCUACUGUGUCUAAUCCCCCUUGCCCUUACACAUCCACCACCCUGUGAUAAGGGACAGCACCCUAGGGCUGGUGCCAGUAGCUCUGAGGAGCCCACCACCCAUUCCCCUACAGUAUACCCAUCCCUUCAGGAUCAGUAAGAGAAAAGUACUGGAGCCCUGGGUAGGGACAGAAAGGAGAGAACAAUCAUAAAGGAAUACUUAAAAUGUGAAAGCUUGUAAAUAGUCUAGUCCACGAUGUUGGGGCAGAGUCUGAUUUCUACAUAAAAAUGACUUUUUUUUUUUUUAAUUCCUUACUGUGCAAACUCUGUUCUUUAAGCGUGUGAGAAAUGGCUUGGGGAGGGUAGCCCUCAAUCUAGGAAGGCUGUUGUGUUAUUUGUUCAAUAAAAUUAUUUGUAGACCCUG